This 406-nucleotide ribosomal RNA is filed under the name uncultured bacterium. RNAcentral describes it as "partial 16S ribosomal RNA". It matches the Rfam family "Bacterial small subunit ribosomal RNA", at positions 30 to 526 of the family's 1533-position model. The record is from RNAcentral.
AUUGACCGCUGGCGGCAUGCCUAACACAUGCAAGUCGAACUAGUGGCGGACGGGUGAGUAAUUUCUGGGAACCUUCCUGAUGGAGGGGGAUAACUACUGGAAACGGUAGCUAAUACCGCAUACCAUCGGAUGUGCCCAUAUGGGAUUAGCUAGUAGGUGGGGUAAAGGCUCACCUAGGCGACGAUCCGUAGCUGGUCUAAGAGGAUGACCUGGCACCCUGGGCGUGAGACACGGGCCGGACUCAUACGGGAGGGCGCGGUGGGUAAGGUUGCACAAUGGGCGGAAGCCUGAUGCAGCCAUGCCGGGUGUAUGAAGAAGGCCUUGGGGGUGUAGAGUUCUUUCAGCUGGGGGGGGUUGGCCGCAGAAGAAGCACCGGCUAACUCCGUGCGAGCAGCCGCGGUAAUAC